RNAcentral lists this long non-coding RNA (703 nucleotides) under Ananas comosus (pineapple). Its description in RNAcentral is "long non-coding RNA (ACOM_LNC014289)". Lineage: Eukaryota; Viridiplantae; Streptophyta; Magnoliopsida; Poales; Bromeliaceae. The record is from RNAcentral.
CAAUUCUUUCUCUUUUGUUUUGAGAAAAUGUUUUUUUUUUGAGAGAGAGAUAGGUAGCAUGCUACCCGUUUUGUUUUAUUUCAUUUAGAAAUAAACUUAGUUAGAAAUGUGAAUCAAUUAGGAUUCGAACUUGGGUCUCGAAUAUCAAUCACCAAGCCCUUUUGUCACUUGCGCUGGGGAAUUAAUGUUAGUUACAAUUUAAUAAUUAAAUUUGCAUCACAUAUAUAUAUAUGGUAGCACUUAACAUAUGAUGAUAGUUAAAAUAGUUUAGAGUCCCACAUUGGAUCGAAAAUAUAAAUAUAAAUAUAAAUAUAUUCUGUAUAAAAUAAUUAGUUAGAUGGUGGGCAUCAUACACUUUCGGCCUUUUUUACAAUAUCUUAUAUAAAACUUUUUUUUUUUUUUCAGAGAUAGGUAGCACGUUACCAGCUUUGUUUAUUUCAUUUAGAAAUAAACUUAGCUUGAAAUGUGAAUCAACUAGUAUUCGAACUGGGUCUCAGGUACCAACCACCAAACCCUUUACCACUUGCUCUAGGGACGGUCGGAAUUUUUGCUCUACAAGACGGCGCACAUCUUCUUAUCAGCUAAAUUUUCUUUUUUUGAGAGAGAGAAAGAAAAAGAAAGAUAGGAUGCAUGUUAUUUAUUUAUUUUUUAAAUAAAUUUAGCUAAAAAUACGAAGGAACUACAUUUUAGUGAACAUAUAUGU